This 731-nucleotide long non-coding RNA is filed under the name Heterocephalus glaber (naked mole-rat). RNAcentral's name for it is "lncRNA (ENSHGLG00000027343.2)". The record is from RNAcentral. Lineage: Eukaryota; Metazoa; Chordata; Mammalia; Rodentia; Bathyergidae.
CGCCGUUGCCGGCAGGCCUCUGGUGUGUGCUGAUGGUGGUGGGCAGGUCUGGACGUAGAAGAUGCCUUGCCCACGUAAAAGGAGGAGAGAAAGCAGAAUUCUGUCUUCAAUUAGCUUGGUGGACAGACAGCCUGUGUGCUCCUUUCUGAGAGAUUCAGGUUAAAACUGGAGUCAGACCAUCUGUGUUCAAAUCCCAGCUGGGCUGCUCCUCACUUUGUACUUUUCCCAGGCUUGUUGUAUGGCUGAAAUGUGGCAGUGCCGGGAGAGGCCUGAGGAGGGCAGGACAUGUGAGUCCAGAGCCCCAGUGUGCUACAAGAGAACAGUGCUCAGUCAUCUACAGUAUCCAACCCCCUGCUGUGGGGGCAGCUCAGGCAGAGGUCUUUAUGCCUCUUUGCAAAUGGAGUCUAGCACGAAGGAAUGCAACUGCAGCCAUCCUGAUCAGAGACCCCUCUAAACUACCCCUCCCUGCUCAGCUGCACCUGAAGACUCAACACUGUCAGCCCUGCUACUGAUAGCCGCUGCUACUCCCUGUGCUUUCCCAAGUCUUGUCCUUGGGCAACCAUUACUACUCUCUCAAGCCUCUGUGCUCUCUCAAGCCUUGUUCUUGGCAGGUACCCACAACCCCCUCUCACUGAGCUCCUCCCUCCGCAUGAGAGUUAGGGUCUGGUCUCUAGUGCCAGAGUGGUCCCCUUCAGGUUUGUUCUGCAAUAAAUCUGUCCAGUUGAGCUCGU